This 77-nucleotide transfer RNA is filed under the name SAR202 cluster bacterium Casp-Chloro-G3. Its description in RNAcentral is "tRNA-Arg". It matches the Rfam family "tRNA". Rfam says of the family: Transfer RNA (tRNA) molecules are approximately 80 nucleotides in length. Their secondary structure includes four short double-helical elements and three loops (D, anti-codon, and T loops). Lineage: Bacteria; Bacillati; Chloroflexota; Dehalococcoidia. The record is from RNAcentral. RNAcentral also lists the same sequence under 1 other name.
GUCCCAGUAGCUCAAAUGGACAGAGCACCUGGUUUCUACCCAGGAUGUUGCGGGUUCGAAUCCUGCCUGGGACGCCA